Molecule: ribosomal RNA, 468 nt
Filed under: uncultured bacterium
Lineage: Bacteria
Description: partial 16S ribosomal RNA
Rfam family: Bacterial small subunit ribosomal RNA
Source: RNAcentral
GACGAACGCUGGCGGCGUGCUUAACACAUGCAAGUCGAACGGAAAGGCCCUGCUUUUGUGGGGUGCUCGAGUGGCGAACGGGUGAGUAACACGUGAGUAACCUGCCCUUGACUUUGGGAUAACUUCAGGAAACUGGGGCUAAUACCGGAUAGGAGCUCCUGCUGCAUGGUGGGGGUUGGAAAGUUUCGGCGGUUGGGGAUGGACUCGCGGCUUAUCAGCUUGUUGGUGGGGUAGUGGCUUACCAAGGCUUUGACGGGUAGCCGGCCUGAGAGGGUGACCGGCCACAUUGGGACUGAGAUAGGGCGCAGACGCCUACGGGAGGCAGCAGUGGGGAAUAUUGCAAAAUGGGCGGAAGGCUGAUGCAGCAACGCCGCGUGCGGGAUGACGGCCUUCGGGUUGUAAACCGCUUUCGCCUGUGACGAAGCGUGAGUGACGGUAAUGGGUAAAGAAGCACCGGCUAACUACGUG